AGUGAACGCUGGCGGCAGGCCUAACACAUGCAAGUCGAACGACAGCACAAUAAGAUCGUUCUCUUACGGUUGGCGAGGGGCGGACGGGUAAGGAAUGCAUCGGAAUCUACUUUUUCUGGGGGGAUAACGGAGGGAAACUUACACUAAUACCGCAUACAACCUACGGGUUAAAUCAAUGGAUCUUCGGACCUUUCGCGAUUGAAUGAGCCGAUGUCGGAUUAGCUAGUUUGCGGGGUAAAGGCCCACCAAGGCAACGAUACGUAGCUGGUCUGAGAGGAUGAUCAGCCACACUGGAACUGAGACACGGUCCAGACUCCUACGGGAGGCAGCAGUGGGGAAUAUUGGACAAUGGGCGAAAGCCUGAUCCAGCCAUACCGCGUGGGUGAAGAAGGCCUUCGGGUUGUAAAGCCCUUUUGUUGGGAAAGAAAAGAAGUAGGUUAAUCUAUCGAUGUCUUGACGGUACCCAAAGAAUAAGCACCGGCUAACUUCGUG
Molecule: ribosomal RNA, 492 nt
Filed under: uncultured bacterium
Lineage: Bacteria
Description: partial 16S ribosomal RNA
Rfam family: Bacterial small subunit ribosomal RNA
Source: RNAcentral